RNAcentral lists this ribosomal RNA (618 nucleotides) under bacterium enrichment culture clone B101. RNAcentral's name for it is "bacterial SSU rRNA". It matches the Rfam family "Bacterial small subunit ribosomal RNA", at positions 56 to 719 of the family's 1533-position model. The record is from RNAcentral.
UGCAGUCGAACGGGCGUAGCAAUACGUCAGUGGCAGACGGGUGAGUAACGCGUGGGAACGUACCUUUUGGUUCGGAACAACUGAGGGAAACUUCAGCUAAUACCGAAUAAGCCCUUACGGGGAAAGAUUUAUCGCCGAAAGAUCGGCCCGCGUCUGAUUAGCUUGUUGGUGAGGUAACGGCUCACCAAGGCGACGAUCAGUAGCUGGUCUGAGAGGAUGAUCAGCCACAUUGGGACUGAGACACGGCCCAAACCCCUACGGGAGGCAGCAGUGGGGAAUAUUGGACAAUGGGCGAAAGCCUGAUCCAGCCAUGCCGCGUGAGUGAUGAAGGCCCUAGGGUUGUAAAGCUCUUUUGUGCGGGAAGAUAAUGACGGUACCGCAAGAAUAAGCCCCGGCUAACUUCGUGCCAGCAGCCGCGGUAAUACGAAGGGGGCUAGCGUUGCUCGGAAUCACUGGGCGUAAAGGGUGCGUAGGCGGGUUUCUAAGUCAGAGGUGAAAGCCUGGAGCUCAACUCCAGAACUGCCUUUGAUACUGGAAGUCUUGAGUUCGGGAGAGGUGAGUGGAACUGCGAGUGUAGAGGUGAAAUUCGUAGAUAUUCGCAAGAACACCAGUGGCGAA